This 241-nucleotide ribosomal RNA is filed under the name uncultured Staphylococcus sp. RNAcentral's name for it is "partial 16S ribosomal RNA". It matches the Rfam family "Bacterial small subunit ribosomal RNA", at positions 99 to 334 of the family's 1533-position model. The record is from RNAcentral. Lineage: Bacteria; Bacillati; Bacillota; Bacilli; Caryophanales; Staphylococcaceae.
CGGACGGGUGAGUAACACGUGGGUAACUUACCUAUAAGACUGGGACAACUUCGGGAAACCGGAGCUAAUACCGGAUAAGAUAUCGAACCGCAUGGUUCGAUAGUGAAAGAUGGUUUUGCUAUCACUUAUAGAUGGACCCGCGCCGUAUUAGCUAGUUGGUGAGGUAAUGGCUCACCAAGGCAACGAUACGUAGCCGACCUGAGAGGGUGAUCGGCCACACUGGAACUGAGACACGGUCCAG